Molecule: ribosomal RNA, 515 nt
Filed under: uncultured bacterium
Lineage: Bacteria
Description: bacterial SSU rRNA
Rfam family: Bacterial small subunit ribosomal RNA
Source: RNAcentral
AACGAACGCUGGCGGCGUGCUUAACACAUGCAAGUCGAACGUGAAAGGCUUCGGCCGAGUAAAGUGGGCGCACGGGUGAGUAACGCGUGGGUAAUCUGCCCUUGGGCGGGGGAUAACCUCUCGAAAGGGGGGCUAAUACCGCAUGAGACCACGGCUUUUCGGGGCUGUGGGAAAAGGUGGGUCGCAAGGCCUGCCACCUGAGGAUGAGCCCGCGUACCAUUAGGUUGUUGGUGGGGUAAUGGCCUACCAAGCCGAAGAUGGUUAGCUGGUCUGAGAGGACGAUCAGCCACACUGGGACUGAGACACGGCCCAGACUCCUACGGGAGGCAGCAGUGGGGAAUAUUGCGCAAUGGGGGAAACCCUGACGCAGCAACGCCGCGUGUGUGAAGAAGGCCUUCGGGUCGUAAAGCACUGUUGGGAGGAACGAGCCGCUCGUGGGGAAGUAUCUGCGAGCCCGACGGUACCUCCUGAGGAAGCACCGGCUAACUCCGUGCCAGCAGCCGCGGUAAUGUGUG